Molecule: ribosomal RNA, 253 nt
Filed under: uncultured bacterium
Lineage: Bacteria
Description: partial 16S ribosomal RNA
Rfam family: Bacterial small subunit ribosomal RNA
Source: RNAcentral
UACAGAGGUCCCAAGCGUUGUUCGGAAUUACUGGGCGUAAAGGGCGCGUAGGCGGCCUUCUAAGUCGAACGUGAAAUCCCCGGGCUUAACCCGGGAACUGCGUCCGAUACUGGAAGGCUUGAAUCCGGGAGAGGGAUGCGGAAUUCCAGGUGUAGCGGUGAAAUGCGUAGAUAUCUGGAGGAACACCGAUGGCGAAGGCAGCCCCCUGGGCUAACACUGACGCUCAUGCACGAAAGCGUGGGGAGCAAACAGG